RNAcentral lists this ribosomal RNA (774 nucleotides) under uncultured Neocallimastigales. RNAcentral describes it as "partial large subunit ribosomal RNA". It matches the Rfam family "Eukaryotic large subunit ribosomal RNA", at positions 24 to 649 of the family's 3401-position model. Lineage: Eukaryota; Fungi; Neocallimastigomycota; Neocallimastigomycetes; Neocallimastigales. The record is from RNAcentral.
AUGUGAUCGUCUCUCGCAUAUCAAUAAGCGGAGGAAAAGAAACUAACAAGGAUUCCCCUAGUAACGGCGAGUGAAGCGGGAAGAGCUCAAAUUUGAAAUCUUAAAGGGUUUCCCUUUACGAAUUGUAGUUUAAAGAAGUGUUUUCUGUUGAGGUUUUGGUAAAAGUUCUUUGGAAUAGGACAUCAUAGAGGGUGAGAAUCCCGUAUUUGACCUUUACUUUCAACUUUGUGAUACACUUUCAAAGAGUCGGAUUGUUUGGGAAUGCAGUCCAAAAUGGGUGGUAAAUUUCAUCUAAAGCUAAAUAUUGGCGAGAGACCGAUAGCGAACAAGUACCGUGAGGGAAAGAUGAAAAGAACUUUGAAAAGAGAGUUAAACAGUACGUGAAAUUGUCAAAAGGGAAGCGUUUGACACCAGUGUUGUUUUUCUGAAAAUCAAUUAAAGAACUGUUUAUGCUAAGUUGUUUAGACUUUAUCAGCUAUACUGUUUAGUUUUGAGCUUUUCUUUAAUGCACUUUUCAGUUAACAAGUCAACAUCAACUUCUUUUGCUGUAAAUAAGCUUGAGGAAGGUGGCUUGAGAUUCGUCUUAAGUGUUUAUAGCCUCUUGCCUAUGCAGUCGGAGAGAUUGAGGUCUGCAGCGUAGAUCCUUCGGGGCUAAAUGCAUUUGUGCUAAGUUAUAGCAUUUUAUAGACAACUUGUUGACUAUGAUUUGUCUUGUAGCUUACUCGCUUAUGUUAUUUUACCUACGCUUAGGAUGUUGAGUAGCGACAUACGCAC